RNAcentral lists this ribosomal RNA (253 nucleotides) under uncultured bacterium. Its description in RNAcentral is "partial 16S ribosomal RNA". It matches the Rfam family "Bacterial small subunit ribosomal RNA", at positions 524 to 776 of the family's 1533-position model. The record is from RNAcentral.
UACGAAGGGGGCUAGCGUUACUCGGAUUGACUGGGCGUAAAGGGCGCGUAGGCGGAUGGUACAGUCAGACGUGAAAUUCCUGGGCUCAACCUGGGGGCUGCGUUUGAUACUGGAUGGCUUGAGUUUGGGAGAGGGAUGCGGAAUUCCAGGUGUAGCGGUGAAAUGCGUAGAUAUCUGGAGGAACACCGGUGGCGAAGGCGGCAUCCUGGACCAACACUGACACUGAGGAGCGAAAGCCAGGGGAGCAAACGGG